GUCGGGUACCAUUGAAACCAGUGGAAGCUUAGUUCUUUCGGUCUUCCUGAUAAAUCUUACUGCUGGUCACUCUUUGGCUUUGCACCACUUUUAAGAGCUGUAACACUUACCGCGAGGGUCUGCCGCGUCAUUCUUCAAGUCAGCGAGACCACGAACCCACCGGGAGGAACAAACAACUCCGGAUGCACCACCUUUAAGAGCUGUAACACUGACCGUGAGGUCUGCAGCUUCAUCCUUUAAGUCAGAGCCAUAGACCAUGAACGCACCGUGAGGAACAAACAACUCCGGAUGCACCACGUCUGAGAGCUGUAAUACCGCGAGGUCUGCAGCUUCAUUCUUGAAGUCAGCGAGACCAAGAACCCACCAGAAGGAAUAAAUUCCGGACACAGACCCAGUAUCUCUUAAACCUUGGCCAUGGUUCCGUUUAUCAUCUAGCUCCCCCAGGAUCCUACUCCAGAAGGUCUCUGGAUAUUAGUGUCAAUUUGGAUCUUGUGUCCAACAUUUCUCAAAAUGUUUGGGUUAUCUUCCUUUCCCCAAUUCAGUCGUCUGAGUAAAUAGUCAAAGAUCCUUUUGUGGAAGAACUGGGGGAAUCAAAAGUGUGUGUGCCUGCUGUGGUCUUAUGGAGUCCUUUCUCGUGGGUACCUGAUCAUUCCUUCAGAAAACGGGCUGUUGGCGCAUAAAAAUGGACUAGGGAUGAUGAUAUUAAAAUAACUGUCCUUAGUCAUCUGAUUAUCCAUCUGUGAUUUCUUUAGUUGGUAUCAACUGAGUAGUAGUACCCUUGUUGUCUGCCUAUUUUGCCCAUAGGUAUUCAUGUUCUAGAAACUAGCUGCAUAAUCUCUUUGCAGGCCAACCACCUCCAGCCUCCCUGCUCCAGUCUUGCCACUCACGGUAAUUGAAUCCACUUGGCUCCUAAUGGUUCUGAAUUGUC
RNAcentral lists this long non-coding RNA (928 nucleotides) under Homo sapiens (human). RNAcentral's name for it is "HSALNT0308440". Lineage: Eukaryota; Metazoa; Chordata; Mammalia; Primates; Hominidae. The record is from RNAcentral.